AUGGCGGCGUUUGUGCGCCGGCCCGAAAUUUCUUGUGUCUUGUGUCUUCUUCUACCUUUAGCCGUGUGUGAGAGAGGAGGCUGCGGUUCCAACAGGUUCCACCUAGUGGACCUUUUCCCAUCAUCUCUGUUGGUACGGCUGCUGAGCGGUGCCACGAGUCAUCUCCGGUCGUGCCACUCCCGGAUCCAGAGAAUCCUGGGAGACAUCCUAGUUGAGCGGAAGGAGAAGGAAGCUGCCUCUGACAGCGCCGGCAGGAGAGAUGACGAGGACCUGCUAGACGUGCUCCUUAGGCUGCAGAAAGAAGACACCCUCAAUUUCCCUUUAACAUCUGAGAUCAUCGGCGCAGUCAUCUUCGAUAUAUUUGCAGCUGCAACCGACACCUCCGCUACCACGCUAGAAUGGGCCAUGUCAGAAUUAAUCCGCAACCCAGAGGUGAUGACUAGGACGAAACUCGAAGUUCGACAGAUCAGUCUAGCACCAGGGCAAUCCAUGAUAACGAGCGCAGACCUCGGCAAUCUCCACUACCUCCGAAGGGUGAUCAAGGAAACACUAAGGCUACACCCACCCGCGGCGGUGAUACGCAGGGCAGCCCGAGAAAGGUGCCAGGUGAUGGGCUACAACAUACCCAAAGAUAUCCCUGUGAUGAUAAACUUGUUCGCAGUGGGGAGGGACGCGAGGCACUGGGGGCAGGACGCGGCGGAGUUCAGGCCCGAGAGGUUCGACGCCAUGAACGUGGAGUACAGCCCGGGGUCGCAGAUGGAGUUCAUCCCGUUUGGGUUUGGCCGUAGGCAGUGCCCCGGAGCCCGGAUGGCGACGACGACGAUUGAGCUCGUGCUUGCCAAUCUGCUGUACCAAUUUGACUGGGCGAUUCCGGGUGGGACAAGCCCGGAGUCGCUGGAAAUGAGCGAGGUAUUUGGGUUAACUGUGCGUCGCAGCUCCAACCUGUGCCUGCAGGCAGCAAAUCGCCGUCCACAGCUGCACUAG
RNAcentral lists this ribosomal RNA (984 nucleotides) under Triticum aestivum (bread wheat). RNAcentral describes it as "partial small subunit ribosomal RNA". The record is from RNAcentral. Lineage: Eukaryota; Viridiplantae; Streptophyta; Magnoliopsida; Poales; Poaceae.